Hordeum vulgare subsp. vulgare (domesticated barley) is the source of this 123-nucleotide non-coding RNA. NCBI's taxonomy places the organism in Eukaryota, Viridiplantae, Streptophyta, Magnoliopsida, Poales, Poaceae. The record is from Rfam.
CAGAUACUCCCUCCGUCCUAAAAUUCUUGUCUUAGAUUUGUCUAGAUAUGAAUAUCAAGUAUUUAGAUACAUUUAUUUCUAGAUAAACCUAAUACAAGAAUUUUAAGACGGAGAAAGUAUUAU